Molecule: long non-coding RNA, 3339 nt
Filed under: Homo sapiens (human)
Lineage: Eukaryota; Metazoa; Chordata; Mammalia; Primates; Hominidae
Description: non-protein coding lnc-NUMA1-3:2
Source: RNAcentral
GCCUUCAAGUACAGGCCGGGGUCCGGAAGCGGUGAUACCCCUUCUCUUUCCCAGUGGCCCUCAAACUUCCUUUUCCCGGGUCCUUAAGCGGGCCCCGCCGACAGAGGCCAAUCAGAGGGCAGCGCGAGGGGGCGGGGCCAUAGUUUAAACUAAUUGUGCGCUCACAGCGCUGGCGCGAGCCCACGAAGAGGUACGAUUCCGGAGAAUCGCGAGGCAGAGCGGGAGCGCGCAGCCAGGUGGAAACUAAUUCUAAGCCAGACUGCUGGAGAUCACCCUGUUCUAGUGUGUGGAGGCUUCCACCAGGAGGAAACUGCAGCUGAGGAGCCAUUGCAGUCCCAUCUCCAGAAGACCCCCAGAAAGAGUUGGAAGAGUUCUUCAGGCUGUGGCAGCCACUGCCCACCAACACACCCAAAUCAAUCAAGAUGAAUCCCAGGUGGUGAGGCUGAAGCAGAUGGUUUGGUAGCUCCAGUCUUUUUUUAGGCAGAAAUGAUGUAUUAAAUCACUACAUUGAUUUUUUUGUUGUUGUUAGCAGUUGUGGGUUUGAAAAAAGGUAGGCAGGAAGAUGGUGAAGGGGUCAAGCCUAGGGGCUGUUAUCUUGAAUAUAUGCAAAUUAAGCUGAUUAUAUUGUAGUGCCCUGUAACCUGUUCCUGGAAACAGUGGUCUUGAAAACUCAUCAGUUAAAUGAGGUGUUAGACAGCCUGGUCAAAAGAUUCUGUGACUAAGUUACUGUAUAAUCAUUUGCAAUUCUCUUUCUUACUCUAAACAUUGUUUUCCUCAUUUUUAUAUUGAAAGAGUUAAGAGAUGCUAAAAAUUCUAGAUCUGAAAAUUGGAUAAGCCUAAGAAGGUUUGAGGUAGGGAAAUGUCUAUUCUAAGCUGUUUGACUACUGGACUUGGGGUAGGAGUGGAAUUUCUUUUUUACUUCCUAAAUUAUAGUUACUUUACUCUCUACUUAUAGUCACAGCUGGGUGAUCAGACAUUAAGUAGCUAUUUAAUGAGAAGCAGGCACUGGAAGCUUGCUCCAGAAAAACAAUCACAGGACAUGUUGGUCCUGAGAGAAGUCAUUCCUUGGUAGGACCUAUUGUUUGAAGGAGGUGGGGGUGAAUUUCAUCAAAAUGGACAGUGUGGAUAUUGUGAUUCAGAGGAUUGAGAGACUUUGUUUCCUGCUGUUAUUAAUUUCAAGCCUUUUUUAAAGGGAUUCUCCUAGUGAUUGGUACAGUGGGAUUCAUUUAGAGAAAAAGCCUUGUGUACCAGUUGGAAGUUAAUGCCCAAGAGCAGGGCCAGUUGCUGGAGGACAAAGUGGCCUAAUUAGUUGCUUUUCAAUACUUAGAUCCUACAGGCUACCCCAAAGAUAAAAUAGGCUACUUUGUAGCUCAGAUCUUCCAGCCUAGUGCCUAGCAAGCUCACUAAGAAGAGGAGGUGACCUGUAGAAUCCACACCUCUUAAUCUCCCUAUUUCUCUUCUUUCCCUCAUUGCCCUUUAGUUUUAAUUAGGAUUGUGUAAACAUAGUCAUCUUGCCAGUCCUCUUAAAGUGGCAGGCCCUUGGCAUUUUCUGCUGGUCACUCAUGCUAUAUGUAUAACUUGCAAUUAGAGGGACUAGCUUUGACAAUUUGCCAUCCCUGGCUGUACCACUGAAAGAAUUCAGAUAAGGGCCAAUUGGCUGUCAUUUACUCAGGCAGCAUAUUUAGUACCUACUGUGUGCAAGCAGUGUGCUGGAGUGGAAAUGAUUUUAAAAUGGUUUCUGCCCUCCAGGAGUUUAGUAAAAUGAAACAAGUAUUACAGCUAGCAUCCACCCAGGGAGGAUUGUAAUUAAGUUUGUAGAGGAACAAGCAAUAUGGGAGCACAUAGAGGAAAGAACAAUUGUUCCUGAUGGUGGGGGCGAUAAGGAGAGUUUGGGAGAAGGCAUUUGAGCCAGGUUGUAAAGGAAGAAUAGGAGUUCAGUAGGUUUAGGAGACAGGGCAUUUAAUGGAGGUCACACCAUGGGCAAAGGCACACAGCUUGGAAAAUGCCUGGCAUGUAUGGGGAAAAUGUGCCUGAGGUAGAGGAUAUUUUAGGGAAUGAACUGAAGAUGAGGCUGGGAAGGAAAUUUGAGGGUUGGAUCUUAGAGAACCUUAAGCGUUAUGCUAAGAAAUUUGGAUUUUAUUCUUCAUGUAAUUAGCUGUUAAGUGUUUUUGAUUUACAGACUAACAUGACCCAAUCUAUGUUAUUUAGGUCCUGUCUAUUCUUUUUUUUUUUUUUUCUUGAGCAGAGUUUCGCUCUUGUUGCCCAGGCUAUAGGCGUGAUCUCGGCUCACCGCAACCCCCGCCUCCUGGGUUCAAGCGAUUCUCCUGCCUCAGCCUCCCGAGUAGCUGGGAAUACAGGCAUGUGCCACCACGCCCGGCUAAUUUUUGUAUUUUUAGUAGAGAUGGGGUUUCUCCAUGUUGGUCAGGCUGGUCUCAAACUCCUGACCUCAGGUAAUCCGCCCACCUCGGCCUCCCAAAGUGCUGGGAUUACAGGCAUGAGCCACCACGCCCGGCCCGGUCUUGUCUAUUCUUAAGUGUAAAGUCUUAGAGGUUAGGUUGAGAGAAGGUGGUGGUCCUGGUUCUUACAGUACAGUAUUAAGUUUGUCAGGCAUCUCAUGUUUGAGAACUUGAUUCCUCAGUUAUAUUUACUAAAACAACUCCAAAAGCAAGAAGGCAGGAAGUGGUCAGAGCUGUGUCCCUUUAAACUGAGCUCACUGACCCACCAAAGAUGAUUUUCUUAGGCAUAUACAUUAUGAACAGUCUUCUUGCUAGUGGGUUGCUUACUACUGAUAAUCCUUUGUGGAUAAAAUUUCACACAAGGAGCAGGCUUUUCAUUAUAGGGCAGAAACCAAAAACAUUUUUUAAGCCUGAUUGAAAAAUAGUAUAUAUUCAUUCUAGGAUAUGUGAAAAACGCAGAGAAGUAUAAGGAAGAAAACUGAAAUCACCCGUAAUCCCACUAUCUGGAGAAAACUACUGUUCUUAUUUUAGCCUAUUUUCUUUCAGUAUUUUGUGCUUGUAUAUUUCUGGUUUUGCAAUUUCCAGAUCAUAUAUUACCUAAAAUUUUAUAUUCUGCUUUUUUCCCCAUUUACCAUUUUUUCAUUAUAUAAAUUUAUAUAUACUCUUCAUAAAUAUUUGUAGUGGCUGCAUAAUAGUCUAUCAUAUAGGAUUUUUAUAUGCUUUCAGGUUUUUUCAAAUAAUAAUGGAAUUUUUUUCAAAUCAUUUUUGUAAUAGAUAUAACAAAUAAGUCCCCAAAUAAGUCUUUACCCUAAUUCUGCCCUGCAGAAGUAACCAUUAUUUAUUAAUAGUUUUCUGUGUAUCUUUAUAUGAACAUUAUUAUGCA